CGUCAAGUCCUCAUGGCCCUUAUGCCUAGGGCUGCACACGUCCUACAAUGCUGCACACAAAGGGAAGCUAGCCCGUGAGGGUACGCAAAUCCCAAAAAAUGCAGCCCAGUUCGGAUUGGAGUCUGCAAUUCGACUCCAUGAAGUCGGAUUCGCUAGUAAUCGCGGGUCAGAAUACCGCGGUGAAUGUGUUCCUGAGCCUU
RNAcentral lists this ribosomal RNA (200 nucleotides) under uncultured prokaryote. Its description in RNAcentral is "partial 16S ribosomal RNA". It matches the Rfam family "Bacterial small subunit ribosomal RNA", at positions 1183 to 1382 of the family's 1533-position model. The record is from RNAcentral.